GUCCCUUUGGGACAUCCAAUAAAAUUGGAAUGAUAGAGAGAAGAUUAGCAUGGCCCUUCACAAGGAUGGCACGCAUAAAUCGAAAAAUGAUCCAAUUUUUU
Ziziphus jujuba (common jujube) is the source of this 101-nucleotide small nuclear RNA. Lineage: Eukaryota; Viridiplantae; Streptophyta; Magnoliopsida; Rosales; Rhamnaceae. The record is from RefSeq and is a predicted model, not a curated record.